GCUGGCGGCACGCCUAACACAUGCAAGUCGAACGCAGUAGCAAUACUGAGUGGCAAACGGGUGAGUAUAAUGUGGGAAUCUGCCUUUUGGUUUGGAAUAACACGGGGAAACUUGUGCUAAUACCGAAUAAGCCCUUACGGGGAAAGUUUUAACGCCGAAAGAUGAGCCCGCACUUGAUUAGCUAGUUGGUAAGGUAAUAGCUUACCAAGGCAACGAUCAAUAGCUGUUCUUAGAGGAAGACCAGCCACAUUGGGACUGAGACACGGCCCAGACUCCUACGGGAGGCAGCAGUGGGGAAUCUUGCACAAUGGGGGAAACCCUGAUGCAGCGAUGCCGCGUGAGUGAAGAAGGCCUUUGGGUUGUAAAACUCUUUCGUCGGGGAAGAAAAUGACUGUACCCGAAUAAGAAGGUCCGGCUAACUUCGUGCCAGCAGCCGCGGUAAUACGAAGGGACCUAGCGUAGUUCGGAAUUACUGGGCUUAAAGAGCUCGUAGGUGGUUAAAAAAGUUGAUGGUGAAAUCCCAAGGCUCAACCUUGGAACUGCCAUCAAAACUUUUUAGCUAGAGUGUGAUAGAGGUAAGUGGAAUUUCUAGUGUAGAGGUGAAAUUCGUAGAUAUUAGAAAGAACACCAAAUGCGAAGGCAACUUACUGGGUCACUACUGACACUGAGGAGCGAAAGCAUGGGUAGCGAAGAGGAUUAGAUACCCUCGUAGUCCAUGCCGUAAACGAUGAGUGCUAGACGUUGGGAAUAUAUUUUUCAGUGUCGCAGCGAAAGCAUUAAGCACUCCGCC
This 790-nucleotide ribosomal RNA is filed under the name uncultured Pelagibacteraceae bacterium. RNAcentral's name for it is "bacterial SSU rRNA". It matches the Rfam family "Bacterial small subunit ribosomal RNA", at positions 35 to 873 of the family's 1533-position model. Lineage: Bacteria; Pseudomonadati; Pseudomonadota; Alphaproteobacteria; Candidatus Pelagibacterales; Candidatus Pelagibacteraceae. The record is from RNAcentral.